Molecule: long non-coding RNA, 1766 nt
Organism: Cebus imitator (Panamanian white-faced capuchin)
Lineage: Eukaryota; Metazoa; Chordata; Mammalia; Primates; Cebidae
Exons: 2
Source: RefSeq, a predicted model, not a curated record
AGAGAGCGCGCGGGCUGGGGCUACGUACGGUUGUUGGGGUCGCUGGUGUGCUGAUUGAGCGGGAUGAUCUCCAUGCGCUGCUGGCCAUACAGUUGUCUGAGCCUGGGAAACGUGCUGUUUAGCCUUCGUCCGGGUCUCAUGCAGGAUGCUUCGAUGUUGGUUGGAACAGAGUUGGACCGAAAAUGUUUUGACUGGCGUCGUUAUGACAAGGUCAUCCGUCAUCGUUGGAUAGAUUGAUAGCACCCAAGUUUAAGGCAGAGACCACGAGGGAAAACCCACGGCACUGUGGACCCGGAGGCUAACCAGGCAGUCUCCGCAGAUUUCCAGCAACUCCAUAGGGAGGAGAGGAUGAAGUUCCAGGCCCGUUUCAAUUAAUCUGCUGGUAGAACUGGCGAAGAGAGGCUUGUCGGGCCGCGGGAGAAGAAACAAAUCCUUUUUCUCACUCUCUCCAGGUUCACUGCUGAGAAACCAGGACACUCCUCUGUUCCCUGGGAGAGACAGUGAGCUCCAGGGAUGGAAGUCCAGACUUUGCAGCAGCGGUCUUCCCAUCUGCCUUCUUGUUUCUGCCCAAAUCCAGCUACUUUCAAGCGCUUGGUCCCCAGGACUGGAAGUCCCAAAGAACCUCUACCUGCCCCGACCCGCCUCCCCCAUACCCCUUCACCCCCUGCCACCAUUAGAAAGUCUUGGGAUUUUGAAAUGCUAGUUGCAGCAGCUGCUUCGGUGGCCACAGGCCGCCCACACUCUGAGAAGCGGAAGAGGGAGGGUUCCUCUCGUAAUGAGAUUAGCUGACCUGUUAAUGAGAGCUUUGGACGUGCUGGGCGCGGGUGGGUGCUUUACGUCCAUUUAAUCCAUCUAGCAACCAUGCGGAGAAGGCAUCAGUAACCCCCAUAUUGUAGGUGGGGACUGCUGAAGUUCGGACAGGUUAGAUGGGUUGCCUAAAGUCACGCCAAUAAUGAAUAAUGUAUUCGGAUUCAAACACUGUUCGGUGAGGUGCCAAGUGCGUCUCCCCCCCACCCUAGUCAAACCUGUAGUCAAUCGGUCCAGACUGACGCCAGAGGGGGUUGAGGGAGCACCCACGGGAGAGAUAUGGCUCCCCUUGCUGCAGGAGCCAGGGAAGAAGCUGAGAAGGUAGCGAAGUCCCCCUCGCCCACUACGUCUACGGAUGGUGUACCUGGGUUUUCUGAUUCAAGCGUCCGCCCCACUCACCCCCGGCACAGGUCGAUCAGGAGGCGACAGGACCCUAGGGCCCAGAGGGUACAGGGACCUCGCGUGAAGGGGGCAGGAGAAAGUUUGAGGGACCGCCCUGAAGGCCCGGGAGCGAACGAAAAGGUCUGGAAGGGAAUGGACCAGGAGCCUGCCCUGCGCCUCUCCAACAGGCCAGUGGCACCGGGUGGUUGAGGCGGAGUCCGCGGAGUCCUCCCCCCGGUGCCCAAGCGGGGUGGGCUGCGGAUAGGCGGGACCCCCGGGGCUGCGUGCACUCCGAGGGGCGCUCCCCCACACACAGUUGACCCUGGGCCCGCUUGGUCACGGCCACCCUGGCGCGUCUCAGUAGUUUUUAGAAAGUGAGCGUGCACGGACCAGCACCCCCUCAAAUCCGCUCCCCCCACCCCCUUCAAUUUAGAAGACCAGGGAAACAAAUCACUUCGACCACUUAGAAAGCGAUCAGAUCUUUAUAAAAAUCCAUUGCUCCCAAAUCGAUGGGUGAAUAUUUGCUGGGAAUUUGUUCCAGAGGAAUAAAUAAGGAGGCUGAAUGUAUUAAAUGCAAA